This 433-nucleotide ribosomal RNA is filed under the name uncultured bacterium. RNAcentral describes it as "partial 16S ribosomal RNA". It matches the Rfam family "Bacterial small subunit ribosomal RNA", at positions 29 to 507 of the family's 1533-position model. The record is from RNAcentral.
AACGAACGCUGGCGGCAUGCCUAACACAUGCAAGUCGAACGAGACCUUCGGGGCUAGUGGCGCAAGGGUGCGUAACGCGUGGGAACCUGCCCUUAGGUUCGGAAUAACUCCCCGAAAGGGGUGCUAAUACCGGAUAAUGUCUUCGGACCAAAGAUUUAUCGCCUUUGGAUGGGCCCGCGUUGGAUUAGCUAGUUGGUAGGGUAAAAGCCUACCAAGGCGACGAUCCAUAGCUGGUCUGAGAGGAUGAUCAGCCACACUGGGACUGAGACACGGCCCAGACUCCUACGGGAGGCAGCAGUGGGGAAUAUUGGACAAUGGGCGAAAGCCUGAUCCAGCAAUGCCGCGUGAGUGAUGAAGGCCUUAGGGUUGUAAAGCUCUUUUACCCGGGAUGAUAAUGACAGUACCGGGAGAAUAAGCUCCGGCUAACUCCGUG